UAGCGGCGACGGGUGAGUAACACGUGAGGAACCUGCCUUACACAGGGGAAGUAACAACCGUGAAAACGGUGCUAAUACCGCAUAACACCGCACUAUGGCAUCAUAGAGCGGUCAAAGGAGAAAUCCGGUGUAAGAUGGCCUCGCGCCCGAUUAGUUAGUUGGUGGGGUAAUGGCCUACCAAGACUGCGAUCGGUAGCCGGACUGAGAGGUCGAACGGCCACAUUGGAACUGAGAGACGGUCCAGACUCCUACGGGAGGCAGCAGUGGGGAAUAUUGGGCAAAUGGGGGAAACCCUGACCCAGCAACGCCGCGUGAAGGAAGAAGGCCUUCGGGUUGUAAACUUCUUUGAUCAGGGAAGAAACAAAUGACGGUACCUGAAAAACAAGCCACGGCUAACUACGUGCCAGCCGCUGC
This 414-nucleotide ribosomal RNA is filed under the name uncultured bacterium. RNAcentral's name for it is "bacterial SSU rRNA". It matches the Rfam family "Bacterial small subunit ribosomal RNA", at positions 93 to 518 of the family's 1533-position model. The record is from RNAcentral.